Molecule: unclassified non-coding RNA, 430 nt
Filed under: soil metagenome
Description: partial contains 5.8S ribosomal RNA, internal transcribed spacer 2, and large subunit ribosomal RNA
Rfam family: 5.8S ribosomal RNA (bases 1-120)
Source: RNAcentral
GAUGAAGAACGUAGCGAAAUGCGAUACGUAAUGUGAAUUGCAGAAUUCAGUGAAUCAUCGAAUCUUUGAACGCAUAUUGCGCUCUCUGGUAUUCCGGAGAGCAUGCUUGUUUGAGUAUCAGUAAACACCUCAACCCCCUUUUCUUUUUUGAAAUGGGAGCUGGACUUGAGUGAUCCCAACGCUUUUCUCACCGGAAAGUGGCGGGUUACUUGAAAUGCAGGUGCAGCUGGACUUUUCUCUGAGCUAUAAGCAUAUCUAUUUAGUCUGCCUAAAAACAGAUUAUUACCUUUGCUGCAGCUAACAUAAAGGAGAUUAGUUCUUGUGCUGACUGAUGCAGGAUUCACAGAGACAGCUUCGGCUGACUUUGUAAACUCGAUCUCAAAUCAAGUAAGACUACCCGCUGAACUUAAGCAUAUCAAUAAGCGGAGGA